UACAGAGGUGGCAAGCGUUGUUCGGAAUUACUGGGCGUAAAGGGCGCGUAGGCGGUCUUGUAAGUCUCGUGUGAAAUCCCUCGGCUUAACUGAGGAACUGCACGGGAUACUGCGAGACUUGAGUUCGGGAGAGGGAAGCGGAAUUCCGGGUGUAGCGGUGAAAUGCGUAGAUAUCCGGAGGAACACCGGUGGCGAAGGCGGCUUCCUGGACCGAUUACUGACGCUGAGGCGCGAAAGCUAGGGGAGCGAACGGG
RNAcentral lists this ribosomal RNA (254 nucleotides) under uncultured bacterium. Its description in RNAcentral is "partial 16S ribosomal RNA". It matches the Rfam family "Bacterial small subunit ribosomal RNA", at positions 524 to 776 of the family's 1533-position model. The record is from RNAcentral.